UUUUUACACAAUCAUUUAUGUAUAGGCUAUCAAUCGAAGUCAAUGGGCAUGCUCCAUCCACACCGAGAUCCAUCAAAUCAAGUCUGUAUUACCACCUACACUGCUUGUAGAGAAUUGACCCAAGACAGUUUUCACACCCCAAUGCACCAUGGUGCCCAUUGCUUUUAUUCUACUCAUGGUUUGCUGGUAAUUUACUUAAGGGGCAGAUAGUUGGAGUGAUCGGAGCAGGUUAUAUUGGAUGAAAGAAUAAAAUCUAUUGUUUCUAUGCUUAUUUCCAAUUUAGUUUAUUCUUUGAUGCACUUAAUGAUUUGUUAUUGAUGGCCUUGAUACAUGAAAUCUAGAAACUCCUGCAUCAAAAACCAAUGAGAACAAAUGGAUAAGAAUGAAGUGCAACCACAAGGUCCUUCCCAAUGCUCCAAAGACAAUGGCCACAUCAAAAGAACAGGAUGCUUGACUUUCACUCCACUUGCUCCCUACUCUGUUGUCAACGCUCUUGCCCCUUUAAUCCUCAUGAUUGGGGUCAGCAUGGUGAAAGAGGCCAUCGAAGAUUGGAAGUGGAAAACGCAGGUAAUUUCCUUUCUGAAUUGAUAUUAUUAGUACUUCUUUGUAUAUCUGUAAUAUAUAUCUGUAUGCAUUGCUAUUGAUAGUGGAUAAUU
Magnolia sinica is the source of this 656-nucleotide long non-coding RNA. RefSeq lists it as uncharacterized. The record is from RefSeq and is a predicted model, not a curated record. Lineage: Eukaryota; Viridiplantae; Streptophyta; Magnoliopsida; Magnoliales; Magnoliaceae. The transcript has 3 exons.